CGAUCGAUCCGCAAUGGGCGCAGCCUGUCGACGCGCCGCGUGUGGUGAAGUCCCUAGGGACGUAAACCUCCCCUAUGGGGAGAAGUAACAACCCCUCGCUGCUACUGAUAGUACCUCACGAAUAAGGGGCUGCUAAACUCGUGCCAGCAGCAGCGGUAUUCGAGUCCCCCAAGCGCUAUCCGGAAUCACUGGGCGUAAAGGGUGUGUAGGUUGGUCCUGGUUUAGUCUUCUGUAAAAAUCUUGGGCUUCAACCCAAGACCCUGCAGGGGAAACGGCCAGACUCGAGGGUGCGAGAGGUGAAUGGAACUUCAUGGAGUAGGGGUGAAAUCCGUCUGAUCUCAUGGGGAACACCAAAAGCGAAGGCAAUUUCACUGGCGCAUUUUCUGACACUUGAAACACGAAAGCGUGGGUAGCGAAUGGGAUUAGAUACCCCAGUUAGUCCACGCCCUAAACGAUUCAACUAGCUUUUCGGUAGUGUCAACCCCUCUGAGAGGCGAACUUAACGCGUUAAGCUUGACCGCUUGU
Molecule: ribosomal RNA, 525 nt
Filed under: uncultured bacterium
Lineage: Bacteria
Description: bacterial SSU rRNA
Rfam family: Bacterial small subunit ribosomal RNA
Source: RNAcentral